This 974-nucleotide long non-coding RNA is filed under the name Homo sapiens (human). RNAcentral's name for it is "HSALNT0326950". The record is from RNAcentral. Lineage: Eukaryota; Metazoa; Chordata; Mammalia; Primates; Hominidae.
AAAGGCUUUCUCCCACAUUUACUUCUAUUAAUUACUUAGAUUUACUUAACAUUUAGAUCUUUUCUUCUUGAGUCUACCACUGAAUAUGAUGUAAGGUAGAGAUCUAGCUCCAAGUUUUCUCUUCUGAUGGCUACUUUUUCCUAUUAAUCCGAUGCAAACUUUAUUGUAUAUCAAUACAGUUGCAUACCUGUGUAUACGCAGGACUGUUUCUGAGCCCCCUAUUAUGUCCUUUGGUCUGUUUUUCUGUCCAUGCCUCUGUGUCGUGUUUUCUUUUUCAGCAAAGUUUUAAGUUUUAUAAUGACCACUCAUCAUCUACAUUCUUCUAUCAACAUUUUUCUAUAUUUGCUUUUAUGUACCAUGUUAUUUUUAUAACUAAAACUUUGUAUCUAUCUUAAUAUCUUAUUAGCAGUGAUCCUCAAUCUUCACUAUAUAUGAGAGUCAAUUAGAGGGUUGGGGGGUCCCCACCCAUAUGGCUUUUAAUUAACUAAGUAUGAGUUGGAACCCAAGAAUUUACAUUUCUAGCAAGUUCUCAGGUAAUGCUGAUGCUUAUGGUUUGAGGAUAACAGAGAAUCACCAUCUUAUAGGAUGAGUCUUCUUAGCUCCUGGUUUUUCCAUAUACAUUUCAGAGUAAGUUUUUUGGCAUUUAUUUUCUGGCCAUGAUGGAUUUACCCUAACUCCUGAAAUGAAUAAAAACAGACAAAAUAUUUGAAACAAUGAUUUUCAAAAUACUGGACAUCAAGAAAUGAAGGACCGUGGUCCCUGAAGGAUGGAGAAAAAAAAGAGGCUUUCACUGUAUAGAAGAUAUCCUGUUGGUUGGAAAGAGAAGCCUUGGUGUCAAUGGCCCUGAAGGCAGAAUUAUAGCACCUCCAUCAGAAGGGAUGGACUGAUAAACCCUGAAAAAAUUCAGGAGCCUGCCUGCUAAGUGUUUUGGAACUAUGUGGCACAUUAACAAUGCUCAGUCUUCCUGGAAGUGA